RNAcentral lists this ribosomal RNA (450 nucleotides) under uncultured bacterium. RNAcentral describes it as "bacterial SSU rRNA". It matches the Rfam family "Bacterial small subunit ribosomal RNA", at positions 354 to 796 of the family's 1533-position model. The record is from RNAcentral.
GUGGGGAAUAUUGGACAAUGGGCGAAAGCCUGAUCCAGCCAUGCCGCGUGUGUGAAGAAGGUCUUCGGAUUGUAAAGCACUUUAAGUUGGGAGGAAGGGCAGUAAGUUAAUACCUUGCUGUUUUGACGUUACCGACAGAAUAAGCACCGGCUAACUUCGUGCCAGCAGCCGCGGUAAUACGAAGGGUGCAAGCGUUAAUCGGAAUUACUGGGCGUAAAGCGCGCGUAGGUGGUUUUGUAAGUUGGAGGUGAAAUCCCCGGGCUCAACCUGGGAACUGCCUCCAAAACUGCAUGACUAGAGUACGGUAGAGGGUAGUGGAAUUUCCGGUGUAGCGGUGAAAUGCGUAGAUAUAGGAAGGAACACCAGUGGCGAAGGCGACUACCUGGACUGAUACUGACACUGAGGUGCGAAAGCGUGGGGAGCAAACAGGAUUAGAUACCCCAGUAGUCC